Molecule: ribosomal RNA, 497 nt
Filed under: uncultured bacterium
Lineage: Bacteria
Description: bacterial SSU rRNA
Rfam family: Bacterial small subunit ribosomal RNA
Source: RNAcentral
GACGAACGCUGGCGGCGUGGAUUAGGCAUGCAAGUCGAACGGUAUCAUCCUUUCGGGGGUGAGAGAGUGGCGAACGGGUGAGUAACACGUAGGUGAUCUACCCUCAAGAUUGGGACAACCCAGGGAAACUUGGGCUAAUACCGGAUGAAAGCAGCAGUGAUGUUGUUUGAAAGGUGGCGUAAGCUGCCGUUUGGGGAUGAGCCUGCGCUCUAUUAGUUAGUUGGCGGGGUAAAGGCCCACCAAGGCGAUGAUAGAUAGGCGGCCUUAACGGGUGGUCGCCCACACUGGGAUUGAGAUACGGCCCAGACUCCUACGGGAGGCAGCAGUCGAGAAUAGUCUACAAUGGCCGAAAGGCUGAUAGUGCGACGCCGCGUGAACGAAGAAGCCCUUCGGGUGUAAAGUUCUUUUAUAUGUGAGCAGUGCUUUCUAUGUGAACAGCAUGGGGAGAGAGAUAUUAGCAUAUGAAUAAGCAACGGCUAACUCCGUGCCAGCAGCCG